GAGUAACACGUGAGUAAACCUGGCCCCCGUGAACUCUGGGAUAAGGCCUGGGGAAAACUGGGGUCUAAUACCGGGAUAUGGCAACCGUAGACCGCAAUGGUUCUUUGGUGGAAAGAAUUUGGGUUCAGGGAUGGACUCGCGGCCUAUCAGCUUGUUUGGUGAGGUAAUGGCUCACCAAGGCGACGACGGGUAGCCGGCCUGAGAGGGUGACCGGCCACACUGGGACUGAGACACGGCCCAGACUCCUACGGGAGGCAGCAGUGGGGAAUAUUGCACAAUGGGCGAAAGCCUGAUGCAGCGACGCCGCGUGAGGGAUGACGGCCUUCGGGUUGUAAACCUCUUUCAGUAGGGAAGAAGCGAAAGUGACGGUACCUGCAGAAGAAGCGCCGGCAACUACGUGCCAGCAGCCGCGGUAAUACGUAGGGCGCAAGCGUUAUCCGGAAUUAUUGGGCGUAAAGAGCUCGUAGGCGGUUUGUCGCGUCUGCCGUGAAAGUCCGAGGCUCAACUUCGGAUCUGCGGUGGGUACGGGCAGACUAGAGUGAUGUAGGGGAGACUGGAAUUCCUGGUGUAGCGGUGAAAUGCGCAGAUAUCAGGAGGAACACCGAUGGCGAAGGCAGGUCUCUGGGCAUCUACUGACGCUGAGGAGCGAAAGCAUGGGGAGCGAACAGGAUUAGAUACCCUGGUAGUCCAUGCCGUAAACGUUGGGCACUAGGUGUGGGGGACAUUCCACGUUUUCCGCGCCGUAGCUAACGCAUUAAGUGCCCCGCCUGGGGAGUACGGCCGCAAGGCUAAAACUCAAAGGAAUUGACGGGGGCCCGCACAAGCGGCGGAGCAUGCGGAUUAAUUCGAUGCAACGCGAAGAACCUUACCAAGGCUUGACAUGUGCUAGAUCGCCAUAGAAAUAUGGUUUCCCCCUUUUGGGGCUGGGUUCACNAGGUUGGUGCCAUGGUUGUCGUCAGCUCGUGUCGGUGAGAUGUAUGGGUUAAGUCCCGCAACGAGCGCAACCCUCGUUCUAUGUUGCCAGGCACGUUAUGGUGGGGACUCAUAGGAGACUGCCGGGGGUCACACUCGGAGGACANG
This 1080-nucleotide ribosomal RNA is filed under the name bacterium HAB23. Its description in RNAcentral is "bacterial SSU rRNA". It matches the Rfam family "Bacterial small subunit ribosomal RNA", at positions 108 to 1174 of the family's 1533-position model. The record is from RNAcentral.